RNAcentral lists this ribosomal RNA (301 nucleotides) under uncultured bacterium. RNAcentral's name for it is "partial 16S ribosomal RNA". It matches the Rfam family "Bacterial small subunit ribosomal RNA", at positions 509 to 807 of the family's 1533-position model. The record is from RNAcentral.
CAGUCGCCGCGGGAAUACGAAGGGGGCUAGCGUUGUUCGGAUUUACUGGGCGUAGAGGGCGCGUAGGCGGACUGAUAAGUCAGGGGUGAAAUCCCAAGGCUCAACCUUGGAACUGCCUUUGAUACUGUUUGUCUUGAGUUCGAGAGAGGUAAGUGGAACUGCGAGUGUAGAGGUGAAAUUCGUAGAUAUUCGCAAGAACACCAGUGGCGAAGGCGGCUUACUGGCUCGAAACUGACGCUGAGGCGCGAAAGCGUGGGGAGCAAACAGGAUUAGAUACCCGCGUAGUCCCUGUCUCUUAUAC